GCUGCCCUGCCGCGUGCGUGACGUCUCAGAAAGUUUUGAGCCUACACUUACCAUUAGGGGAGCCCAACUCCUUUGCCGGGACGCCUGCUGCUGAUGCCUUCACCGGUUCUUCCCGAUCCCUUAACAGGGUCGGGAUAACAGUAGCGACGCGAGGGUGAGAAGCGGCACCCACCUGCGAAUAGCGGGUUCAACAACUUGACGAUGCACGGCGUAGCGGGGCAUUU
RNAcentral lists this non-coding RNA (224 nucleotides) under Armatimonadota bacterium. RNAcentral's name for it is "6S RNA". It matches the Rfam family "6S / SsrS RNA". Rfam says of the family: E. coli 6S RNA was the first non coding RNA to be sequenced, but its function was unknown until recently. It consists of 184 nucleotides that fold into an extended hairpin structure with a large single-stranded internal bulge. The record is from RNAcentral. Lineage: Bacteria; Bacillati; Armatimonadota.